UGAGGAAUAUUGGUCAAUGGGCGCGAGCCUGAACCAGCCAAGUAGCGUGAAGGAUGAAGGUCCUACGGAUUGUAAACUUCUUUUAUAAGGGAAUAAAGUCACCCACGUGUGGGUGUUUGUAUGUACCUUAUGAAUAAGCAUCGGCUAACUCCGUGCCAGCAGCCGCGGUAAUACGGAGGAUGCGAGCGUUAUCCGGAUUUAUUGGGUUUAAAGGGAGCGUAGACGGGCCGUUAAGUCAGCUGUGAAAGUUUGAGGCUCAACCUUAAAAUUGCAGUUGAUACUGGCGUCCUUGAGUACGGUUGAGGCAGGCGGAAUUCGUGGUGUAGCGGUGAAAUGCUUAGAUAUCACGAAGAACCCCGAUUGCGAAGGCAGCCUGCUAAACCGCCACUGACGUUGAGGCUCGAAAGUGUGGGUAUCAAACAGGAUUAGAUACCCUGGUAGUCCACACGGUAAACGAUGGAUACUCGCUGUUGGCGAUAGACUGUCAGCGGCUUAGCGAAAGCGUUAAGUAUCCCACCUGGGGAGUACGCCGGCAACGGUGAAACUCAAAGGAAUUGACGGGGGCCCGCACAAGCGGAGGAACAUGUGGUUUAAUUCGAUGAUACGCGAGGAACCUUACCCGGGCUUAAAUUGCAUUUGAAUAAUCUGGAAACAGGUUAGCCGCAAGGCAAAUGUGAAGGUGCUGCAUGGUUGUCGUCAGCUCGUGCCGUGAGGUGUCGGCUUAAGUGCCAUAACGAGCGCAACCCUUAUCUUUAGUUACUAACAGGUCAUGCUGAGGACUCUAGAGAGACUGCCGUCGUAAGAUGUGAGGAAGGUGGGGAUGACGUCAAAUCAGCACGGCCCUUACGUCCGGGGCUACACACGUGUUACAAUGGGGGGUACAGAAGGCAGCUACCUGGCGACAGGAUGCUAAUCCCAAAAACCUCUCUCAGUUCGGAUCGAAGUCUGCAACCCGACUUCGUGAAGCUGGAUUCGCUAGUAAUCGCGCAUCAGCCAUGGCGCGGUGAAUACGUUCCC
RNAcentral lists this ribosomal RNA (1017 nucleotides) under uncultured bacterium. RNAcentral's name for it is "bacterial SSU rRNA". It matches the Rfam family "Bacterial small subunit ribosomal RNA", at positions 355 to 1375 of the family's 1533-position model. The record is from RNAcentral.